Molecule: long non-coding RNA, 303 nt
Filed under: Brassica napus (rape)
Lineage: Eukaryota; Viridiplantae; Streptophyta; Magnoliopsida; Brassicales; Brassicaceae
Description: long non-coding RNA (BNAP_LNC026722)
Source: RNAcentral
UAAAAAAAAUUGUUACCUUUUGGACUCCUUUGGCAAAUUUGGAAAUCACAAAAUUCUUUAUUAUUCCAAGAAAGACGAUUUGGAAUACUGAUACGAUGGACGAUGCUAUUGUUGAUGUACACGAGUGGAUAACGAAUGUCAAUCAGAACCAUGGAUCUUUAUUUUCACACCCUUUACUUUCUGGAGCAACAAAUAUAUUUUUGUCGCAAAGUCCUUCGGUUGGUUCUUUUAAAUGUAAUUUUGAUGUGUUGUUUGAUAUAACAACAAGACAUGUACAAGGAGCUUGGAUUGUUCGGGAUUUCC